This 1727-nucleotide long non-coding RNA is filed under the name Mus musculus (house mouse). RNAcentral describes it as "predicted gene, 52113". The record is from RNAcentral. Lineage: Eukaryota; Metazoa; Chordata; Mammalia; Rodentia; Muridae.
CUUCUUCAUGUUACCAGCUCUGCUCACUCUAUCAAAAGCAGACAAGAAAGGCCAAUGAGAGAAGCGUCUUACUGGGCCUAAUGCUUCGACCUCCCAAUAAGGAGGUCUUCUUGCCUCAGUCUCCUGGGAUUAAAGGCAUGUACUACCUUGCCUGGGCCCAAGCUUUUCAUGGCCACUGUGCCUCAAGAUCUCCAUGUCAAGAUCCAGGUCAGAAACUUGUGUCUUCCAGCCUCAAGAUCUGGAUCACAGAUAUCGUCAAGCUGACAAGGAAUAGCCAUCACAGUCCUCCUACCUCUGCUUCUCGAAUGGCGUGGGAUUCCAGAGGUGAGCUAGGCUCUUCUCACCAUGUUCUAUGAGGCUCAAAUCUUUAAUUUCCUGAAGAAAACUCAUCUAAUACUUGAGCCGUGGUGGUCCUCUCUGGGUGGACUGAGGAGCCUCUGUAGGUAGGAUGUUCCUGUGGGUGGAACUCUCCAGGAUCCACCACUCAGACCCUGAAGCAGAUGGGCCCCCUGCGUGUAAAGUUGGCACAUGAUGUUCCCAAGGGCAACCCAAGGCUGGGUGGGACCUGUGUGGCCAGGGAAGGGAGCCUCAGUACACCAGACUCAGUAUCCUUCACUUUGUAUAGAAGGCGGAGCUGAUAGCAGAAGUCCUUGGAGAGGAGGGCUAGUGAGGUGACUCAGCAGGUGAAGAUGCUGGCUGCCCUACCAAACUACUAGUCCGUGUGGGACUGUCCUCGGGGCGAUGCGGAAGUGCCUGCACUGCCGGAGGUAAACAAGUUCCUGCCCCCACCGAAACAGGAGCAAACAGGAGGUUCACGUUCCCACCGCUUUGCAACACUGUUUCAGUACCUCCCCUCCCCCUCUUUCCCAGGCGCUAGCUGAUGGAGGCCAACACCAAAGAAUGACCAUCAUCUCCCCCACCAACGCUGGCGAACCUUUCUCUUUUCUCCUGGGUAAUAAUACUGUGUCCCAGGCUUGCUCAGCGGGUGGCCAUAGGAGUCUGGGAGACCCGGUCCAGUGGACAGGGUUUUGGGGUUCCGCUUAGAGUUGCUUCAGUCUAUAGAAAGCUGAGCCGGGCUCUGCCUCUUCUAUCGCAUGACCCCCACCCGGUGGUGGUGUCCCCAAGAGGAGAUCACCCGGAUUCCCCCCACCCCCUUCUACCUCUGCGCAGAGGGAACGCUGCUACUUUCGGAGUUGUACUCCUUGGUCCGGGAUAUUCCUAGACCCUGCGCCUGAGGGGCUGGGAGCGCAGCGCUUUGUUAUUCAGCCGGAAAGAUGCCCCAAGAAUUAAAAGACUUUAUAAAAUGUAGGUUGACUACACCACCUGCACCUGCCUUCAUUGUUGCUCUCUCACAGAAUUUCAGAAAUGCGCUAGGCCUCCUGGUGCAUGCCUAUAAUCCGAAGGCAGGACUCCUGGGGUUUGAGGCCCUGUGACACGUAGAAAGACCUUGUUUCAAGAAAUUUAGAAAUACCAGCAUAUUAAAGACGCCUCCCCCCCCCCAAAAAAAAGACAUAUCCAAAACUAUGGGUCUUUGGGCUUUUGUACGACUCCUAUUAGGAGUUACGAACACGUGUGAAAUUACCUCAGAUAGGGGACCAAAAACAAACGAAACAACAUUGCUCCUAAAUCCAACUUGUUGAGCAAAUAAGUAAAUUACAGUCUGGGAACUGAUACUCUCAGAAGAGGGGGGAAAAUCACAUCUAUAUUAAAGAUUUUGCAAUACCAAU